This 91-nucleotide transfer RNA is filed under the name Anaerobiospirillum thomasii. RNAcentral's name for it is "tRNA-Ser(cga)". It matches the Rfam family "tRNA". Rfam says of the family: Transfer RNA (tRNA) molecules are approximately 80 nucleotides in length. Their secondary structure includes four short double-helical elements and three loops (D, anti-codon, and T loops). Lineage: Bacteria; Pseudomonadati; Pseudomonadota; Gammaproteobacteria; Aeromonadales; Succinivibrionaceae. The record is from RNAcentral.
GGAAGGGUGGCAGAGAGGCUGAAUGCACCGCACUCGAAAUGCGGCAAACUCUUAUCGGGUUUCAAGGGUUCAAAUCCCUUCCCUUCCGCCA